RNAcentral lists this long non-coding RNA (1734 nucleotides) under Ornithorhynchus anatinus (platypus). RNAcentral's name for it is "lncRNA (ENSOANG00000048843.1)". Lineage: Eukaryota; Metazoa; Chordata; Mammalia; Monotremata; Ornithorhynchidae. The record is from RNAcentral.
AACGGGGGGGUCCCCAUCCCCGAGCCCCGGGGCUCGGUCCCCCCUCCCCCGGAUCGGGAUGAUCGAGGUCUCUCGGGCGAAGGACAGGGAGGGACGGAGAGGCGGAGCGGAAGAGAGAGACGGAGAGAGAGGAGGGAGCAACCCCGGGCGGAGGGGGCCCGGGCCGGGGCCGGGAAGCCGGGUCACUGUCCGGUGGUCAGCCGGAGCCUCCGGACGGGGCCGGGCUGGGAGACGUCCGGCUCCUGCCCCCGUUGCGGCCUGCUUUUCUUCCCCUCCGGGGGGUCGGCCGGCGAGGGCAUCCCCCUUCCUGCGGGGAAACUGAGGCCCGGAGGGGCGGGGCGGAGAGGGCGGAGGCGAUCCCCUCCCUCCUGGGCCGCUACUGUCCGAGCCCCGGGUCCGGGCGGGGGCGGUGGGCCGGCCGGGGCUGCGGCCGGGGGUGGCGGGCUGCGGGGCCGGGCCGGGGGGAGGGAGGGCUCAUCCGGGCCCCGGGCCCCGCGCUCCGCUCCGCCGGCAGCACCGCGGCCAGCGCCGCCCCGCUCCGCUCCGCCCCGCUCCGCCCCGCCCCGCUCCGCUCCGCGCCCCCUCCGCGCCCCGCCGGGCCCCGGGCCCCCGGACUCACGCCCGGCCUCUCACACCUCCCGCAUCUUCGCCCUCCCUCCCUCCCUCCCUCUGCUUCUCCCCCUCUCCUUUUCUCUCCCUCUCCCCUUCUCUCCUCUCUCCCCUUCUCCCUCCCUCCCUCCUCUUUCCCUCUCUCCUUCUCUCUGCUCUCUCCCCUUCUCCUUCUCUCUCCCUCUCUCUGCUCUCUCCCCUUCUCCCUCCCCUCCUCCCUCCCUGUCUCCUCUCUUUCCCUCUCUCCUCCCCCCCUUCUCCCUCCCUCUCUCCUCUCUCCCCUUCUCCCUCUCUCCCCUCUUUCCCUCUCCCUGGCCCCCCCCCCCCCCCGCCUCCUUUCUCCCUCUCUCUUUCGCCUCCCACUAUGAACUGACGCCCUCCUCCCCUUUUCCCUCCCCCUCCCAAACGGCCUCUCUAGCAGCGGGGCUUCACUUUAGCAAGCGGCAUCCGGAACGCUCUUUCCAUCUGCAAAGAAAGCGCAGGGCCAAAGGGGUGGGGAGGAGAAGGAGAGGCCCCCAAACGAACAGCCACCCACCCGCAGACACACACAUACACACCCCCUCAAAAAACACCCCCGGAGCCACCCUCGGCCCUAGAGAGGAGAAACGCACGUACACUCAGGCUCGCAGGGUCGGCCUGGCAGUUGCCACUAGCUCUCUGCCUGCACCGUUUUCCCGACAUCUAAAAGAAGGGAGUCUAGAGAUCUCUGGAGCUCGGCAGCUUCAGGCGAAUAACAUCCCAGCGUCCGCGGCUAUAUAUUUUGCAAGCUCUCUCUCUCUCUCUCUCUCUCUCUCUUUUCUUUCUUUCUUUAUGGCGGCGGGAGUGGGGCGGGAGGGGAGACGGUGGCUUAUUCUCUUCCCAUUGCCUUCCUCUUCCUCGGCCCCGGUUAGCUCCACUACCUCGCGGGGACCAUCCGCAGGCCAGCCGGUGUCCGGGAGUUUCCGGAGACCCCCCAGCGUCCGAUUCGGGACCCCGAAAGGUCAGAGGAGAUGCGCCUUCCCUCUCGCACACCUGGGCAUCCGUUUUCUCGGUCGAGGACUGCGCGCUGCAGCCUUGGCAGGAGCCCCCAGACGGAGCACAGAGAGCGCUCGGCCAAAAGCUAGUGAUGUCAUCCGUGCAACGUGA